RNAcentral lists this ribosomal RNA (862 nucleotides) under uncultured Corynebacterium sp. RNAcentral's name for it is "bacterial SSU rRNA". It matches the Rfam family "Bacterial small subunit ribosomal RNA", at positions 41 to 916 of the family's 1533-position model. Lineage: Bacteria; Bacillati; Actinomycetota; Actinomycetes; Mycobacteriales; Corynebacteriaceae. The record is from RNAcentral.
GGCGUGCUUAACACAUGCAAGUCGAACGGAAAGGCCCUGCUUGCAGGGUACUCGAGUGGCGAACGGGUGAGUAACACGUGGGUGAUCUGCCCUGCACUUCGGGAUAAGCCUGGGAAACUGGGUCUAAUACCGGAUAGGACCAUCGUUUAGUGUCGGUGGUGGAAAGUUUUUCGGUGCAGGAUGAGCUCGCGGCCUAUCAGCUUGUUGGUGGGGUAAUGGCCUACCAAGGCGUCGACGGGUAGCCGGCCUGAGAGGGUGGACGGCCACAUUGGGACUGAGACACGGCCCAGACUCCUACGGGAGGCAGCAGUGGGGAAUAUUGCACAAUGGGCGCAAGCCUGAUGCAGCGACGCCGCGUGGGGGAUGAAGGCCUUCGGGUUGUAAACUCCUUUCAACCAUGACGAAGCAUUAUGUGACGGUAGUGGUAGAAGAAGCACCGGCUAACUACGUGCCAGCAGCCGCGGUAAUACGUAGGGUGCGAGCGUUGUCCGGAAUUACUGGGCGUAAAGAGCUCGUAGGUGGUUUGUCGCGUCGUCUGUGAAAUUCCGGGGCUUAACUCCGGGCGUGCAGGCGAUACGGGCAUAACUUGAGUGCUGUAGGGGAGACUGGAAUUCCUGGUGUAGCGGUGAAAUGCGCAGAUAUCAGGAGGAACACCGAUGGCGAAGGCAGGUCUCUGGGCAGUAACUGACGCUGAGGAGCGAAAGCAUGGGUAGCGAACAGGAUUAGAUACCCUGGUAGUCCAUGCCGUAAACGGUGGGCGCUAGGUGUGGGGGUCUUCCACGACUUCUGUGCCGUAGCUAACGCAUUAAGCGCCCCGCCUGGGGAGUACGGCCGCAAGGCUAAAACUCAAAGGAAUUGACGG